CAUCAUGCCUCCCAGCCACAGCAAAUACAGCCUGCCUAGACUUGGAAGAAUGUGUUGUUUCUGCAAACACAGCAUCAUUCUGCAUUGUUGUAACGGUGACUUGGGUAUCCUAGGGUAGCAACGACACCCACAUGGAGCUGGAGCACUGAGCCAUCUCCUGGUAUCAGAGAACAUUUGCUGAUUUUGCUGGCCUAAUUGUUGAGCUCCAGACUCUAUCUUAAUGGAAGUGGAUGGCAUUCCUGAGAUGGCACUCAAAGUCAUCCUGUUGCCUACAUAUGUACCUAUAGACAUGUCAAUGCACACCUAUGCAUUACAUACAAGUAUGUACCUGCAUACCCAAGCAUGCACAUACACACACACACACACACACACACACACACACACACACACCACAAAGCAAGGCUACUAGCACUUUUAUUUAACCAGUAAUAUAAUGAUGUUUAAAACAGUAAUAGCAAUAAUCACGUAUCAAAACUCACUGGCUGUGAUGAUAUUGGGUAUCCUCUUUAAUUUGUUUAUUAAACAAAGUUUAAGGUUAGUAUCAUCAUCAUUCUCAUUCUAUAGAUAAGAAAGCUUGUUAAAAACCUUGCCAACAUUAAUUGCAUCAUUAUUAUAAAGCUGAACCUCAGAUCUAGACCUGAUGAUGCAGACAUCUGGACAAGGACUCCUGUCAAAAACCGAGAAUAUGAUCUCUCCUGGUCAAGUGCCUCUUUGAACAUAUACUCUUGGUCCUCUCCCUCACCAUAAUCACUGAGAAAAUACAGGAAGAAAUUUUUCUUGGGAAGCAAUGAAGAAAUGGAAUCAAACUAAGAAAAAUUGAGAAUUAGAGCUCUGUACAGUGAAACAGAAACAGCCUUAAGGUAAGGGAUGGUGGGGGCAGUUGGGGUGAGAUGGUCAUUUUUUCUGUUGUGUUGCAAUCUGUUUCCGGUCUUUUGUCUAUGCUGCACGUAGCCACAUUUCUUCCCAGCAGGACGUUUACAACCGACGACUUAUCUUGUGUUAAUGAAAGCAGCAGCAGAAAUGGGGACCAAGGAAGAGGAGUAUCUCACUUCCUGUGCCAUAAUGGCAUCUGAUAGUGGCUAUCUCUUCAGCAUGUCACAUUUCUGCCAUUCUUUCCGAAGCUCCAGAUCCUGGGCUGGCUAGUCCUAGCUUCUGACUGGUGGCCCCACUGGCUGCUCUCUGUAAACAGACGUGUAUGUAUGCUAUGACUUUCCAGUUGAAGAAAAGUAUUACCCUUCUGUCUCUGGAGAUAAACUUUACGAUGACUUAACUCUGACCUUUUAUCUUUUCAACUCAGCUGCAUAACCGUGCAGAUAACAACCGGGUGGCUUUCUGUUUUCUAAACCUUGAAAAGCAUGCUAUGAGGUGACAGAGAGCAAUAAGAUGAAAGUAAGUACACUGCAUGUGUGUAAUGAUAUACUAAUUCAGAAGCUUCCAGAACUUGACGACUGACAUACUUCACAGAUGAAACAGUGCCUUUUCCACGGGUUAUUGAAGAGACUCAACAAAUGUGAUUGGAAGGCUUCCAUUAACAAGGUCCACAUUAACCACAGGUUAGAGAUCCAUAGCCAGGGACCUAAGGUUAAGACAUAGUACAGAGCAGAAUUAUCGGCAUGGUACAUGAGCUAAGUGAAAGAAGUUGUAUGCUGGGAGGGUAGAUAAACUCAAGGAAAGAGAGAGCAGGAGAAAGGGAAA
Mus musculus (house mouse) is the source of this 1695-nucleotide long non-coding RNA. RefSeq annotates it as predicted gene, 46219. NCBI's taxonomy places the organism in Eukaryota, Metazoa, Chordata, Mammalia, Rodentia, Muridae. The transcript has 2 exons. The record is from RefSeq and is a predicted model, not a curated record.